GAUCCUUCCCUUGCAGAGUUUUUCUCUAGACCUUAGAUCUUCAGAGACAGUGACGCUAGCCUUCACUGAUCAAAAAUGGCAGUACUGUUCCAAAAGGAAGACACGUCACCUUCUCUCAUCGUAUCACUGACAAUGCUGGCAGAAUGGGCAAUGGCUGAAAUAAGAGGAGUACAUCCUGAAAAUUCCAAGGGAGAAGACCCACGUUUCAUUUUAACAUGAUGGAAAAGAUCUUGCAAGCUGAAAUUGGAAAAAUCUGCACCUCUGGAAGUGAUUCACUGUUUCACAACUGCUGACCACCUUGUUGCUGUGAAAAUGUUGCCUGUGAAGUCCAUAUUGCAUUGGCUCGAACAGAUGGAAGCGGGAAUGCGCUAAAUCUGGGCUAUACAGUGGAUGUGGUCUGAUAUUCCAGCCAAGACUGACAAUGUGCUCCACAGUCCUCAAACUGGCACGGAGUCUGGUGUUACCAUGUUGCAAAAGAAAAGCUGUCUUCUU
Numida meleagris (helmeted guineafowl) is the source of this 492-nucleotide long non-coding RNA. RefSeq lists it as uncharacterized. NCBI's taxonomy places the organism in Eukaryota, Metazoa, Chordata, Aves, Galliformes, Numididae. The record is from RefSeq and is a predicted model, not a curated record. The transcript has 3 exons.